GAUGAAGAACGUAGCGAAAUGCGAUAAGUAGUGUGAAUUGCAGAAUUCAGUGAAUCAUCGAAUCUUUGAACGCACAUUGCGCCCCUUGGUAUUCCAUGGGGCAUGCCUGUUCGAGCGUCAUUUGUACCUUCAAGCUCUGCUUGGUGUUGGGUGUUUGUCUCGCCUCUGCGUGUAGACUCGCCUCAAAACAAUUGGCAGCCGGCGUAUUGAUUUCGGAGCGCAGUACAUCUCGCGCUUUGCACUCAUGACGACGACGUCCAAAAGUACAUUUUUACACUCUUGACCUCGGAUCAGGUAGGGAUACCCGCUGAACUUAAGCAUAUCAAUAAGCGGAGGA
RNAcentral lists this unclassified non-coding RNA (337 nucleotides) under soil metagenome. RNAcentral describes it as "partial contains 5.8S ribosomal RNA, internal transcribed spacer 2, and large subunit ribosomal RNA". The stretch from base 1 to 120 matches the Rfam family "5.8S ribosomal RNA", at positions 35 to 154 of the family's 154-position model. The record is from RNAcentral.